AACGAACGCUGGCGGCAGGCUUAACACAUGCAAGUCGAGCGCGUAGCAAUACGAGCGGGCAGACGGGUGAGUAACGCGUGGGAAUCUACCCAACCCUACGGAAUAACGCAUGGAAACGUGUGCUAAUACCGUAUACGCCCUUUGGGGGAAGAUUUAUCGGGGAUAGAUGAGCCCGCGUUGGAUUAGCUAGUUGGUGGGGUAAAGGCCUACCAAGGCGACGAUCCAUAGCUGGUCUGAGAGGAUGAUCAGCCACAUUGGGACUGAAACACGGCCCAAACUCCUACGGGAGGCAGCAGUGGGGAAUAUUGGACAAUGGGCGAAAGCCUGAUCCAGCAAUGCCGCGUGAGUGAUGAAGGCCUUC
This 361-nucleotide ribosomal RNA is filed under the name uncultured bacterium. RNAcentral describes it as "bacterial SSU rRNA". It matches the Rfam family "Bacterial small subunit ribosomal RNA", at positions 29 to 419 of the family's 1533-position model. The record is from RNAcentral.